CGCACAUUGCGCCCGCCGGUAUUCCGGCGGGCAUGCCUGUUCGAGCGUCAUUGCAACCCUCAGGCCCGGCCUGGCGUUGGAGGACUGCGCAGCAGCCUCCCAAAGCGAGCGGCGGCGGCGCCUCGGAACCGAACGCAGUAGCACAUCUCGUUCUGGAUCCCGGGCGUUGACCUGCCGGAAACCCUUCUCUCGUGGUUGACCUCGAAUCAGGUAGGAAUACCCGCUGAACUUAA
This 233-nucleotide unclassified non-coding RNA is filed under the name Chloridium sp. RNAcentral's name for it is "partial contains 5.8S ribosomal RNA, internal transcribed spacer 2, and large subunit ribosomal RNA". Lineage: Eukaryota; Fungi; Ascomycota; Sordariomycetes; Chaetosphaeriales; Chaetosphaeriaceae. The record is from RNAcentral.